RNAcentral lists this ribosomal RNA (333 nucleotides) under Salmonella enterica subsp. enterica. Its description in RNAcentral is "partial 23S ribosomal RNA". It matches the Rfam family "Bacterial large subunit ribosomal RNA", at positions 1292 to 1629 of the family's 2925-position model. The record is from RNAcentral. Lineage: Bacteria; Pseudomonadati; Pseudomonadota; Gammaproteobacteria; Enterobacterales; Enterobacteriaceae. RNAcentral also lists the same sequence under 1 other name.
GAAUGCUGACAUAAGUAACGAUAAAGCGGGUGAAAAGCCCGCUCGCCGGAAGACCAAGGGUUCCUGUCCAACGUUAAUCGGGGCAGGGUGAGUCGACCCCUAAGGCGAGGCCGAAAGGCGUAGUCGAUGGGAAACGGGUUAAUAUUCCCGUACUUGGUGUUACUGCGAAGGGGGGACGGAGAAGGCUAUGUUGGCCGGGCGACGGUUGUCCCGGUUUAAGCGUGUAGGUGUGUGUUCCAGGUAAAUCCGGUUCACUUUAACACUGAGGCGUGACGACGAGGCACUACGGUGCUGAAGCAACAAAUGCCCUGCUUCCAGGAAAAGCCUCUAAGC